GCCUUCGUAGUGUAGUGGUCAGCAGACUCGGCGCGUAACCGAGAAGUCCGUAGUUCGAUUCCCGGCGAAAACG
RNAcentral lists this transfer RNA (73 nucleotides) under Stegodyphus mimosarum. It matches the Rfam family "tRNA". From Rfam's summary of the family: Transfer RNA (tRNA) molecules are approximately 80 nucleotides in length. Their secondary structure includes four short double-helical elements and three loops (D, anti-codon, and T loops). Further hydrogen bonds mediate the characteristic L-shaped molecular structure. tRNAs have two regions of fundamental functional importance: the anti-codon, which is responsible for specific mRNA codon recognition, and the 3' end, to which the tRNAs corresponding amino acid is attached (by aminoacyl-tRNA synthetases). tRNAs cope with the degeneracy of the genetic code in two manners: having more than one tRNA (with a specific anti-codon) for a particular amino acid; and 'wobble' base-pairing, i.e. permitting non-standard base-pairing at the 3rd anti-codon position. The record is from Rfam by way of RNAcentral. Lineage: Eukaryota; Metazoa; Arthropoda; Arachnida; Araneae; Eresidae.